Molecule: ribosomal RNA, 433 nt
Filed under: uncultured bacterium
Lineage: Bacteria
Description: partial 16S ribosomal RNA
Rfam family: Bacterial small subunit ribosomal RNA
Source: RNAcentral
AACGAACACUGGCGGCAUGCCUAACACAUGCAAGUCGAACGAGACCUUCGGGUCUAGUGGCGCACGGGUGCGUAACGCGUGGGAACCUGCCCUUAGGUUCGGAAUAACUCCCCGAAAGGGGUGCUAAUACCGGAUAAUGUCUUCGGACCAAAGAUUUAUCGCCUUUGGAUGGGCCCGCGUUGGAUUAGCUAGUUGGUAGGGUAAAAGCCUACCAAGGCGACGAUCCAUAGCUGGUCUGAGAGGAUGAUCAGCCACACUGGGACUGAGACACGGCCCAGACUCCUACGGGAGGCAGCAGUGGGGAAUAUUGGACAAUGGGCGAAAGCCUGAUCCAGCAAUGCCGCGUGAGUGAUGAAGGCCUUAGGGUUGCAAAGCUCUUUUACCCGGGAUGAUAAUGACAGUACCGGGAGAAUAAGCUCCGGCUAACUCCGUG